GGGCGUUGACUGAGCGGUUGAAGGUGGAUGUCCCUGUGAAACCACUGGCGGCGCGAACACAGGGUCAGUGGUGGAGGACAUCCAGUCCGUCAAGGGCUCAAGGGUUCGAAUCCCUUACGUCCUG
RNAcentral lists this transfer RNA (124 nucleotides) under Deinococcus aquaticus. RNAcentral's name for it is "tRNA-OTHER". Lineage: Bacteria; Thermotogati; Deinococcota; Deinococci; Deinococcales; Deinococcaceae. The record is from RNAcentral.